CUUAGCUGCCACAGAGUUUUCUGCUCUGUCCUUACUGAAUGCUUCCACCAACAAGGCCAUAUACCUCAUGAAUCCCAUCUAGGCAGUCCACCUCAGCAAGGGAAGGAUUACAUUGAACAGUGACCACUGGCAGUCCAGCAUCAUGGGAACACCGGAAUGGAGAUAGCAAGGUUCCAACUGAAGGGUUUAGAAGAAAAAGUCUCCUCAUCAACAGAAGUCGUAGAAAUGGAAGAGAGAGAGGACUUCAGGCCAGAUGGGACGCAUUAGACAGGAAGAGAAACUUGCAUGAGAACAAUUUAUAGGCCCCCUCCUUCCCUUUGCCAGAUAGAAUCCUACCUAUCCUUUGAGGCUCAUCUGCUCCAAGAAGCCUUCCUCUUCAAACUUCAAUCAACAACCAUCUCUUCACUCAAUGACAGCCCAAAUAUACCUAUUAUCUGUGCUACAUGUCUCAGAACCUAAUUAUAUUCAAUUUAUCACCUUAUUAUAUGGUGUCCUAUAUUCUUCAUGGUUUU
Molecule: long non-coding RNA, 512 nt
Filed under: Monodelphis domestica (gray short-tailed opossum)
Lineage: Eukaryota; Metazoa; Chordata; Mammalia; Didelphimorphia; Didelphidae
Description: lncRNA (ENSMODG00000049156.1)
Source: RNAcentral